This 1925-nucleotide unclassified non-coding RNA is filed under the name Hevea brasiliensis (rubber tree). Lineage: Eukaryota; Viridiplantae; Streptophyta; Magnoliopsida; Malpighiales; Euphorbiaceae. The record is from RNAcentral.
GGCUAUUGUACGAGAGAGAAUGAAUGAUUGGAGAAAACGUCUCGUCUCUCAGCUUGGAAAAGAGAUGGUUGAAAUGACUGGAGAUUAUACUCCAGAUUUGAUGGCCCUCUUGUCAGCAGAUAUCAUCAUAUCUACCCCUGAGAAGUGGGAUGGUAUUAGUCGUAAUUGGCAUACUCGAAGCUAUGUGACGAAGGUUGGGCUUAUGAUUUUGGAUGAGAUUCACUUAUUGGGUGCUGAUCGUGGACCUAUCCUUGAGGUUAUUGUUUCAAGGAUGAGAUACAUAUCAUCCCAAACAGAGCGGGCAGUACGUUUUGUAGGUCUUUCAACAGCUUUGGCAAAUGCAGGAGAUUUGUCUGAUUGGUUGGGAGUUGGUGAAAUUGGACUUUUCAAUUUCAAGCCAAGUGUAAGGCCUGUGCCUCUGGAAGUACAUAUCCAGGGAUAUCCUGGGAAGUAUUACUGCCCAAGGAUGAAUAGCAUGAACAAACCAGCAUACGCUGCAAUAUGUACCCAUUCACCUAUAAAGCCAGUACUCAUAUUUGUAUCGUCUCGUCGCCAAACGAGGCUUACUGCACUUGACCUUAUUCAGUUUGCAGCGGCAGAUGAGCAUCCAAGGCAAUUUCUGAGUAUGACAGAAGAAGCAUUGCAGAUGGUUCUUUCUCAGAUCACUGAUCAGAACCUGAGACACACCUUACAAUUUGGCAUUGGGUUACACCAUGCAGGACUAAAUGACAAAGACAGAUCUCUGGUUGAGGAACUUUUUGCAAACAACAAGAUCCAGGUGUUAGUGUGCACAAGCACACUUGCUUGGGGGGUGAAUCUUCCUGCUCAUCUGGUUAUUAUCAAGGGAACAGAAUAUUACGAUGGAAAGACAAAGAGAUACGUUGAUUUUCCCAUCACAGAUAUCUUGCAAAUGAUGGGUCGUGCAGGCCGCCCACAAUAUGAUCAGCAUGGAAAAGCUGUCAUUCUUGUUCAUGAACCUAAGAAGAGCUUCUAUAAAAAGUUUUUGUACGAACCAUUUCCUGUUGAGAGUAGUCUAAAGGAGCAGCUGCAUGAUCACAUCAAUGCAGAGAUAGUUACUGGCACAAUUUGCCAUAAAGAGGAUGCAGUGCAUUACCUUACAUGGACUUACUUAUUCCGUAGACUGAUGGUUAAUCCCGCCUACUAUGGUCUAGAGAAUGCAGAACCUGAAACUCUGAGUUCUUAUAUGUCUAGAUUAGUGCAAAACACAUUUGAGGAUCUGGAAGACAGUGGGUGCAUCAAGAUGAAUGAAGACAAUGUGGAGUCUAUGAUGUUGGGCAUGAUAGCAUCACAGUAUUACCUUAGCUACAUGACUGUUUCAAUGUUUGGAUCAAAUAUAGGGCCAGAUACAUCUCUUGAAGUGUUUUUGCAUAUUCUUUCUGGUGCUUCUGAAUAUGAUGAACUUCCUGUGCGGCAUAACGAGGAAAAUUAUAAUGAAGCAUUGUCUCAGAGAGUUCGAUAUAUGGUGGACAAGAAUCGCUUAGAUGAUCCACAUGUCAAAGCAAAUCUGCUAUUUCAGGCUCAUUUUUCCCAGUUAGAGUUACCCAUCAGUGAUUAUGUGACAGAUUUGAAAUCAGUGUUAGAUCAAAGUAUACGUAUCAUACAGGCCAUGAUAGAUAUUUGUGCCAAUAGUGGGUGGCUUUUAAGCUCAAUUACUUGCAUGCAUCUUUUGCAAAUGGUCAUGCAGGGUCUGUGGUUUGAAAAAGAUUCUUCCCUGUGGAUGUUGCCAUGCAUGAAUACUGAUCUUUUGUCAUCAUUGAACAAAAAAGGAAUCUCCACUGUGCAGCAUCUGUUGGAUCUUCCCAAGGCAACUUUGCAGGCUAUGAUUGGAAAUUUUCCUGCUUCAAGAUUGUAUCAGGAUCUGCAUCAUUUUCCCUGCAUUAAAACAAAGUUAAAACUUCAGAAGA